Molecule: ribosomal RNA, 254 nt
Filed under: uncultured bacterium
Lineage: Bacteria
Description: partial 16S ribosomal RNA
Rfam family: Bacterial small subunit ribosomal RNA
Source: RNAcentral
CACGUAGGGGGCAAGCGUUGUCCGGAUUCAUUGGGCGUAAAGAGCUCGUAGGCGGCUCAGUAAGUCGGGUGUGAAACCUCCAGGCUCAACCUGGAGACGCCACCCGAUACUGCUGUGGCUAGAGUCCAGUAGGGGAGCGUGGAAUUCCUGGUGUAGCGGUGAAAUGCGCGGAUAUCAGGAGGAACACCAGCGGCGAAGGCGGCGCUCUGGGCUGGAACUGACGCUGAGGAGCGAAAGCGUGGGGAGCGAACAGG